CGGGGACCGCAAGGCCUGGCGCUUGAAGAGGAGCCCGCGUCCGAUUAGCUAGUUGGCGGGGUAACGGCCCACCAAGGCGACGAUCGGUAGCCGGCCUGAGAGGGCGGACGGCCACACUGGAACUGAGACACGGUCCAGACUCCUACGGGAGGCAGCAGUGGGGAAUUGUUCACAAUGGGCGAAAGCCUGAUGGUGCGACGCCGCGUGAGGGAUGAAGGUCUUCGGAUUGUAAACCCCUGUCACCGGGGAAGAAACGCUUCCAGUUAAUAGUUUGAAGCCUGACUUAACCCGGAGAGGAAGCAGUGGCUAACUCUGUGCCCGCAGCCGCGGUAAUACAGAGACUGCAAGCGUUAUUCGGAUUCACUGGGCGUAAAGGGUGCGCAGGCGGCCAGGUGUGUGAGGCGUGAAAGCCCGGGGCUUAACCCCGGAAUUGCACCUCCAACUACUUGGCUAGAGCAUUGGAGAGGGUAGCAGAAUUCAUGGUGUAGCAGUGAAAUGCGUAGAUAUCAUGAGGAAUACCCGACGCGAACGCCGCUACCUGGACCAUUG
This 549-nucleotide ribosomal RNA is filed under the name uncultured bacterium. RNAcentral describes it as "bacterial SSU rRNA". It matches the Rfam family "Bacterial small subunit ribosomal RNA", at positions 193 to 739 of the family's 1533-position model. The record is from RNAcentral.